UUUCGCUUCCGCCAUAACCAGUUUGAGCUAUCGACUGAGAAUGCAAUCGCCUAACAACUUUUAAUACUAAAUCAAGCACCAUACUCACACAAACGGUGAGAAAAUAACAAAACUCACACAAACGGUGAGACAACAAGAAAACUAAAAUCAAUCGUGACAAACUAGCAACCAUAGACUUGCAAUUACGAAAAUAAAAUACCAGCUAAACCAAGGCAAUCCUUAGAUCUGGGGAACAAACCCACAAAAAAAGAUAACUCAGGGCUCUUUCGAGAAUAAAAUCACCAAGAAGAACGAGAAAUCCGUAACUCCGUGGAAUUGAGAUCUCAGAAAAAAAUGCCAGAUCGGAAAAAACUUUAAAUCCUUAGAUCCGAAGAAACAAACUAAAGUCAAAAACUUAAGGAAAAAAAGUUAAUCUUACCCAAUAAGAAAGAUUUUAGGAGGAUCAAUAAGUUUUAUUGAAAGAAUGAAAACAGUAAAAUAAAAGGUUUUGGGGUUUUCCACCGGUAGAAAUCCGGUGGAAGCCCCGACACUGCUGAGAAGAAAGAAGAGCGGCUCUGAAAUUGGGUUUGAGGAGAGAAGACGGCUUGAUUGUUAUUACGUUCUGAUUACUAUUUUCUUUGAGCACGAGCUGAGAGUUCAAGUUUGUUAUUUUCGAUUUUUUUUUUUUGGUUUUUUACUACUACUAGAGAACACGACGAUAUCUCCACUAAAUUUAUUUUCC
RNAcentral lists this long non-coding RNA (721 nucleotides) under Daucus carota (carrot). Its description in RNAcentral is "long non-coding RNA (DCAR_LNC005811)". The record is from RNAcentral. Lineage: Eukaryota; Viridiplantae; Streptophyta; Magnoliopsida; Apiales; Apiaceae.